Molecule: ribosomal RNA, 367 nt
Filed under: uncultured fungus
Lineage: Eukaryota; Fungi
Description: LSU rRNA
Rfam family: Eukaryotic large subunit ribosomal RNA
Source: RNAcentral
CUAACAAGGAUUCCCCUAGUAACUGCGGGUGAAGCGGGAAAAGCUCAAAUUUAAAAUCUGGCCGCCUCCGGUGGUCCGAGUUGUAAUCUGGAGAAGCGUUUUCCGCGUCGGACCGUGUACAAGUCUUCUGGAACGGAGCGUCAUAGAGGGUGAGAAUCCCGUCUCUGACACGGACUACCGAUGCUUUUGUGAUGCGCUCUCGAAGAGUCGAGUUGUUUGGGAAUGCAGCUCAAAAUGGGAGGUAAAUUCCUUCUAAAGCUAAAUAUUGGCUAGAGACCGAUAGCGAACAAGUACCGUGAGGGAAAGAUGAAAAGCACUUUGGAAAGGGAGUUAAACAGUACGUGAAAUUGUUGAAAGGGAAACGCUU